UGGGGGAUAUUGCACAAUGGGGGAAACCCUGAUGCAGCAACGCCGCGUGUGGGAAGAAGGUUUUCGGAUUGUAAACCACUGUUCUUGGUGAAGAUAAUGACGGUAACCAAGGAGAAAGCUCCGGCUAACUACGUGCCAGCAGCCGCGGUAAUACGUAGGGAGCAAGCGUUGUCCGGAUUUACUGGGUGUAAAGGGUGCGUAGGCGGCUAGGCAAGUCAGACGUGAAAACCAUGGGCUCAACCUGUGGACUGCGUUUGAAACUGUUUAGCUUGAGUGAAGUAGAGGUAGGCGGAAUUCCCGGUGUAGCGGUGAAAUGCGUAGAGAUCGGGAGGAACACCAGUGGCGAAGGCGGCCUACUGGGCUUUAACUGACGCUGAGGCACGAAAGCAUGGGUAGCAAACA
This 402-nucleotide ribosomal RNA is filed under the name uncultured bacterium. RNAcentral's name for it is "bacterial SSU rRNA". It matches the Rfam family "Bacterial small subunit ribosomal RNA", at positions 355 to 774 of the family's 1533-position model. The record is from RNAcentral.